Pan troglodytes (chimpanzee) is the source of this 1343-nucleotide long non-coding RNA. RefSeq lists it as uncharacterized. Lineage: Eukaryota; Metazoa; Chordata; Mammalia; Primates; Hominidae. The transcript has 7 exons. The record is from RefSeq and is a predicted model, not a curated record.
GGGCGGAAGUUCCGUGGUUGUACGGCGGCGCUGGGGUUUCCUCCCGGCGAGACUGGCGGGGCUGCGGCGGCUAGGAGAGUGAAAUUUCCACAGCCACCCCAACCUUCAGCAACUAUCACCCUGAUCAGUGAGCAACCAUCAACAUUGAAGCAAGACCCUCCACCAGCUAAAAGAUUAUGACUUGCUGCAGGCUAAGGGUCCUCUCUUCCCCACAGACAUGAAUGAACCAGCUCUAUGACCACGUCUCCCAUAACCAGCCCCGGCCUGCAAAGGCAGCCACCACAGAGCCUCUUAGUGAUGUAUCAGCGCAUUCCUGAUGGACGGUGUGUUACUUGGUGUUCCAUUCUCCCAGUGAAACAUAAUUCUCUGCCAAUGGAAGCAUUUGAGAAAAAAACACCUUUCAAAGUGAACCUGUAUUAUGUUACUGGAACAUUUGUUAAAAAUCUAUUAACCUCUAAGAAGCCAAGAACAGAAAUUCAGCAAUAAAAGGUACUCUCAGAAACCACCUCUGGCCUGAAAAGGGGCCGACUGAAACAUAUACCUAUUUGAAGAUCCCUGGCACACAGAUACAGCAGAAGAAGCCCAAAUGUGUUAUCAAACCAUUGAGAGAAACAGAACUUUCCUCAAAGCCAAGAAACAGCUUUCAAAAGGAAGUUUCCCAAAAACUCUUCUGAAAGUACCAGCAUAUCUUCAAACCAAAUGAGGAAAUUGCAGGCCACAGAUAAAAGUAACCAGCUUAACCACUGGAUUGUGCUCUCUCUUUCCUUCUGUAAUCUACUUUGAACAAAUAAUACAAACAUGAAUAAUCCAUUUGCUAUUGGUAUCUCAAGUUUUGUUGUCUUGAUUUCCCUGGUCUCUACCUUUUAUUCUGUAAUUAAGAACUAUUUAACGAUGAGUUGAAUUUAGAUUAAUUUCUUUUAACAAGGGUAUCUGACACAUAUAUAUGGCACUUAUUAGUGUCAAACACUGAUCUGAGCACUUAUAUUAACUUAUACACACACACACGUAUUAACUCAUUAUAUCCCCAUUUUAUUGAUAAAGAAAUUGAGGCCCAAAAUGAUUAAGUGACUUGUCCAAAACCACACAGAGAGUUAAUGGCACAGAAUACUUUUCAAGCCCAGGCCACCUGGCUUUAGAAUCUGGGCACUUGAUAAUUAACAUUUUAGAUCACUGAUUCCCCAGGUUGCAGCCAGAAUAUGCAAUCAUUUUAGUGAUACCAGAAUGUAAGCUUUGUGAGGGGCUUUCUUUUCUUCACUGCUGUAUCCUUAUCACCAGAAUGUAGUAGAUGCUUAAUAAAUGCUGUAUGUCUCAUAUGAAUAAAUGGGUGAAUUGCUGCAUCUCAA